AUGCCGCUCCGAGCGGCUGCACCGGGAGCGGCUGCACCGGGGCUCGGGGCCGCGGUGCUGUGCGCAGUGCUGUGCGCGGUGCUGUGCCCCCGGCCGGCCCGAGCGGAGCCUUCCUCAUUCCCCUUUCCCUUCCAGGACCCGGCGCUGCCCUGGCACCGCCGCCUCGACGACCUCGUGGGCCGGCUGAGCCCUGGCGAGCUGGUGCUGCAGGUAGCGAGGGGGGGUGCGCUGGGGAACGGCCCCGCGCCCCCCAUCCCGAGGCUGGGCAUCGCACCCUACAACUGGAACACCGAGUGUCUGCGCGGCGAUGGGGAGGCACCCGGCUGGGCCACGGCCUUCCCGCAGGCACUGGGGCUCGCUGCUGCCUUCAGCCCAGAGCUCAUCUACCGGGUGGCCAACGCCACCGCCACCGAGGUGAGAGCCAAGCACAACGCCUUCGCCGCCGCCGGCCGCUAUGGGGACCACACAGGGCUCAGCUGCUUCAGCCCCGUCCUGAACAUCAUGAGACACCCGCUGUGGGGCAGGAACCAGGAGACCUAUGGGGAGGACCCGUUCCUGAGCGGGGAGCUGGCCCGCAGCUUCGUGCAGGGGCUGCAGGGCUCACACCCCCGCUACAUCAAGGCCAGCGCUGGCUGCAAGCACUUCAGUGUACACGGGGGCCCUGAGAACAUCCCUGUGUCCAGGCUCAGCUUCGAUGCCAAGGUGCUGGAGCGGGACCUGCGCACCACCUUCCUGCCCCAGUUCCAGGCGUGUGUACGUGCGGGUUCCUACAGCUUCAUGUGCAGCUACAACCGCAUCAAUGGUGUUCCUGCCUGUGCCAACAAGAAGCUGCUGACGGACAUCCUGCGUGGAGAGUGGGGCUUCGAGGGCUACGUGGUGAGCGACGAGGGGGCCCUGGAGCUCAUCAUGCUGGGGCACCACUACACACACACCUUCCUGGAGACGGCGGUCGCAUCAAUGAACGCUGGCUGCAACCUGGAGCUGUCCUAUGGCAUGAGGAACAAUGUCUUCAUGCGCAUCCCGCAGGCUCUGGCCAUGGGGAACAUCACGCUGCAGUGCCCUGAACCUGAGCGUGGUGCAGAGCCCCGAGCACCGAAACCUGUCCCUGGAAGCUGCCAUCAAGAGCUUUGUGCUGCUGAAGAACUCAGGGGGGACACUGCCCCUCCGGGCCCAGGACCUGCCUGGCAAGCGCCUUGCGGUUGUGGGUCCCUUCGCUGA
Molecule: long non-coding RNA, 1218 nt
Filed under: Melopsittacus undulatus (budgerigar)
Lineage: Eukaryota; Metazoa; Chordata; Aves; Psittaciformes; Psittaculidae
Description: lncRNA (ENSMUNG00000009298.2)
Source: RNAcentral